UACGAAGGGGGCUAGCGUUGUUCGGAAUUACUGGGCGUAAAGCGCACGUAGGCGGAUCGAUCAGUCAGGGGUGAAAUCCCAGGGCUCAACCCUGGAACUGCCUUUGAUACUGUCGAUCUGGAGUAUGGAAGAGGUGAGUGGAAUUCCGAGUGUAGAGGUGAAAUUCGUAGAUAUUCGGAGGAACACCAGUGGCGAAGGCGGCAUCCUGGACCAACACUGACGCUGAGGAGCGAAAGCCAGGGGAGCAAACGGG
RNAcentral lists this ribosomal RNA (253 nucleotides) under uncultured bacterium. RNAcentral's name for it is "partial 16S ribosomal RNA". It matches the Rfam family "Bacterial small subunit ribosomal RNA", at positions 524 to 776 of the family's 1533-position model. The record is from RNAcentral.